UGUAGGUGGGCAUCAUUCAAUCUGUUGAGGGCCUGAACAAAACAAAAGGUGAGGAAGGAGGAGUUUGCACAUUUUCCUGCCUCGCUGCUGGAGCUGUGACUCAUUUCAUCUUCUCCUGCCUGUGGACUGGUUUUACACCAGGGGCUCCUCUGGUUCUCAGACCUUUGCACUUGGACUGAGUUGUACCUCUGGCUUUCCUGGGUCUCAAGUUUACAGAUGGCAGAUCAUAGGACUUCUCCGUCUCCAUAAUUGCGUGAGCCAAUUCCUCAAAAUAAAUCAUCUUUUAUACGACAAGAAAGGUGAAGAGUUGAGACCUAAUGGAUCUUUUGCACUGUCUGGACUCAAGUUCCUUAGAAUCUCAAGGCUCGAUAUUAGUAAAAAGAGGAAGCAGAGGAUGCUGGAGCCAACUCCUUUGGAAGUACAGCAGAUGAGAAAACUGAGGUACAGAGGCUUCAAGCAACUUGUGCUUGACCACAAAGUGGCAAAGCUGGAGUUUGGAUGCAGGCAGUCUGGGUUCCAG
RNAcentral lists this long non-coding RNA (520 nucleotides) under Equus caballus (horse). Its description in RNAcentral is "lncRNA (ENSECAG00000051721.1)". Lineage: Eukaryota; Metazoa; Chordata; Mammalia; Perissodactyla; Equidae. The record is from RNAcentral.